RNAcentral lists this long non-coding RNA (519 nucleotides) under Musa acuminata (dwarf banana). RNAcentral's name for it is "long non-coding RNA (MACU_LNC011774)". Lineage: Eukaryota; Viridiplantae; Streptophyta; Magnoliopsida; Zingiberales; Musaceae. The record is from RNAcentral.
AAUAAGGAUUUUAUUUGGCUUAAUAUUUCAUCAUGGGGUGCUCCGGUGUUAGUUAAAAAGAUGGAGGGAACAUUGAGGCUUUGUAUUGAUUAUAGACGGUUGAAUUAGGUGACCAUCAAAAACAAGUAUUCUCUAAGGUGACGACUUGUUUGAUUAACUGCAUGGUGCACAAGUAUUUUCAAAGAUUGAUUGAAGGUCGGGUUACCAUCUAUUGAGGAUCAAGGAGGAGAAUAUUUCGGUUACUUUUGGAAAAUUGUGUAAUUGUAUUGUAUUGAUGAAAUUAUUUGAGAGCAGGAGGAGGAAAUAAAGAAAUCAUAAUCCUCAUCUUUUCAUCGAUUGAGUAUGAUCAAUUUAGAGGACUAAAUUUUCUUUUAAGGGGAGGAGAGUGUAAUAUCCCUCACUUUUAAAAAUUUAUUAAUAAGGAUUUAUAUGUAAAUUGAAGGACCUAUAUGUAAAUAUAGAAAUUUCAAGGACUAAACUGUUAAGUUGCAAAAAAAAAAAAAUAAAGAAAAUUGAAAA